Molecule: transfer RNA, 60 nt
Filed under: Rochia nilotica
Lineage: Eukaryota; Metazoa; Mollusca; Gastropoda; Trochida; Tegulidae
Description: tRNA-Asp
Source: RNAcentral
AAUUAGUUAAAAAAUAACAUAUGCUUGUCAAGCGUAAGUUGCUGGAAGUUUGUCAGUAUU